UGUAUUAUAAUUAUUUAAAGCGCCUGGGUACGAGGCAGGGAGUUUGGUAUAUAUGUCAUAUGAGCAUUUUUAUUGGGAAAGUAUUCAGUUUGUGUCGUAGUUGGUUCAUUAUAGAUGCAAAAUCAUCCUAAACCUGAUUCAAAACUCAUUUUGCGGCCCAAGGAAGAUUUUCGUGACAUUUUUCAGCCCGGUUAACCGGGCUGGCCCGGUCCAUGUAAUCAGCCCCUUACUGUACUGUGCUACAACAACUGUCCAGGCAAGCAUAAGUGAUAAAAAACCAAUAUAAACUUUAUAAACAAAAGAUAAUGUAAAACGUAACAGAACGUUGAACAUGCAGAUUCGGCCAUCUCAAAUAAUGGUAAUGUUGGGAUAGUAGCGUUGCAGACUGCAGAGGAGAGUAGGCAGCAAGGCUCCCUUAUGCUCCACCCCCAUGGAAAACCUGCACACCUCCUUGCACAUGAGGUUAGAUCCGCCCAUGCAUCGAAAUGGUGCAUUAUCCACGCAUUUCACAAAGAAUUUGCACCUUACACAAGUAAAAACGCAUAAGUUGUUCCAGAUCUGCAAAAAGGUUCUAACAGGUUGUUAUCAAGCCUGGGAACUAGCUGUUAUCAUCUUGUUACAACGUUAUUAUCAACUUGUUAACAAUUUGUCACGUACAGACUAUAUACCAGUCUUGUUGGAACAACUUUUGUGCGAGUCUGUUGGCCACAUCAACCUUGUAACAAGAUGACAACAACUUGUUCCAGAGUUGUCAACAACUUGUAACAAGCAUUGCGAACACAUCUUGUUCACAAGCUGUGAGAUAUUUACGCGUGUAUGCUGGUAAUGAACAAAAAUUCUUACACUCUCCAAUUGACAACUUGCAUGUUAGACUAAAUUUUAAUCUAAGUAAAGAGAAGGGAAUCAAACACCACAGUUAAAAAGAACAUAAUGAAAUUAGUAAAAUUGCGAAAUUUGGUUGCGAAAUGUUGUAAAAUACGGAAAAUAUAGCCUUGCGAAGUUUGCAUAUUUUCAGUAUAUUUGUAUUACGUGCGGAAAUUGCUACCAUUUUCGGCUCAAAAAUG
Paramuricea clavata is the source of this 1064-nucleotide non-coding RNA. NCBI's taxonomy places the organism in Eukaryota, Metazoa, Cnidaria, Anthozoa, Malacalcyonacea, Plexauridae. The record is from the annotation of a GenBank genome assembly.